Molecule: ribosomal RNA, 492 nt
Filed under: uncultured bacterium
Lineage: Bacteria
Description: partial 16S ribosomal RNA
Rfam family: Bacterial small subunit ribosomal RNA
Source: RNAcentral
AGUGAACGCUGGCGGUAGGCCUAACACAUGCAAGUCGAACGGCAGCACAGUAAGAGCUUGCUCUUACGGGUGGCGAGUGGCGGACGGGUGAGGAAUACAUCGGAAUCUACUUUUUCGUGGGGGAUAACGUAGGGAAACUUACGCUAAUACCGCAUACGACCUACGGGUGAAAGCAGGGGAUCUUCGGACCUUGCGCGAUUGAAUGAGCCGAUGUCGGAUUAGCUAGUUGGCGGGGUAAAGGCCCACCAAGGCGACGAUCCGUAGGUGGUCUGAGAGGAUGGAGAGCCACAUGGGGACUGAGACAGGGAUGAGAAACCUACGGAAGGCACCAGUGGGGAUUUUUGGAGAAUGGGCGAAAGUCUGAACAAGAUUUGCGGCGGAGGUGAAGAAGGCUUUCGGGUUCUAGAGCAUUUCUGUCGGGAAAAAAAUAGUUGGCCCUAAUACGGUCGGGGGAUGAAGUGACCGGAAGAAUAAGAACCGGCUGACCAGGGG